This 74-nucleotide transfer RNA is filed under the name Hyphomicrobiales bacterium. Its description in RNAcentral is "tRNA-Gly". It matches the Rfam family "tRNA". Rfam says of the family: Transfer RNA (tRNA) molecules are approximately 80 nucleotides in length. Their secondary structure includes four short double-helical elements and three loops (D, anti-codon, and T loops). Lineage: Bacteria; Pseudomonadati; Pseudomonadota; Alphaproteobacteria; Hyphomicrobiales. The record is from RNAcentral.
GCGGGCGUAGCUCAGUGGCAGAGCAUAGUCUUUCCAAGAUUAGUGCAUAGGUUCGAUUCCUUUCGCCCGCUCCA